RNAcentral lists this unclassified non-coding RNA (314 nucleotides) under plant metagenome. RNAcentral's name for it is "partial contains 5.8S ribosomal RNA, internal transcribed spacer 2, and large subunit ribosomal RNA". The stretch from base 1 to 105 matches the Rfam family "5.8S ribosomal RNA", at positions 50 to 154 of the family's 154-position model. The record is from RNAcentral.
GAAAUGCGAUAAUUAAUGUGAAUUGCAGAAUUCAGUGAAUCAUCGAGUCUUUGAACGCACAUUGCGCCCCCUGGUAUUCCGGGGGGCAUGCCUGUCCGAGCGUCAUUGCUGCCCUCAAGCACGGCUUGUGUGUUGGGCUUCCGUCCCUGGCAACGGGGACGGGCCCAAAAGGCAGUGGCGGCACCAUGUCUGGUCCUCGAGCGUUUGGGGCUUUGUCACCCGCUCCCGUAGGUCCAGCUGGCAGCUAGCCUCGCAACCAAUCUUUUUAACCAGGUUGACCUCGGAUCAGGUAGGGAUACCCGCUGAACUUAAGC